UGGGGAAUAUUGCACAAUGGGCGCAAGCCUGAUGCAGCCAUGCCGCGUGUAUGAAGAAGGCCUUCGGGUUGUAAAGUACUUUCAGUCGGGAGGAAGGUGUCAAGGUUAAUAACCUUGGCAAUUGACGUUACCGACAGAAGAAGCACCGGCUAACUCCGUGCCAGCAGCCGCGGUAAUACGGAGGGUGCAAGCGUUAAUCGGAAUUACUGGGCGUAAAGCGCACGCAGGCGGUUGAUUGAGUCAGAUGUGAAAUCCCCGGGCUUAACCCGGGAAUUGCAUCUGAUACUGGUCAGCUAGAGUCUUGUAGAGGGGGGUAGAAUUCCAUGUGUAGCGGUGAAAUGCGUAGAGAUGUGGAGGAAUACCGGUGGCGAAGGCGGCCCCCUGGACAAAGACUGACGCUCAGGUGCGAAAGCGUGGGGAGCAAACAG
Molecule: ribosomal RNA, 428 nt
Filed under: Chloroflexota bacterium
Lineage: Bacteria; Bacillati; Chloroflexota
Description: Chloroflexi bacterium partial 16S ribosomal RNA
Rfam family: Bacterial small subunit ribosomal RNA
Source: RNAcentral